UCCUGAAGUACGGAGCCUUCGUCCCUCCUGAGCUCUUUGGCUCUGAGUUCUUCAUGGGACGACUGAUGAGGAGGAUCCCGGAGCCCCGGAUCUGCUUUCUGGAAGCCAUCUGGAGCAACAUUUUCUCCCUGAACCUGCUGGACGCCUGGUAUGACCUCACCAGUUCUGGGGAGUCCUGGAAACAGCACAUCAAGGACAAGACCAGGAGCUUAGAGAAGGAGCCCCUGAUCACCUCGGGGACCUCCUCGCAGCUGGAGGCUUCGUGGCUGCAGCCGGGCACGGCGCUGGCCCAGGCAUUUAAAGGCUUCCUGACUGGCAGGCCCCUCCACCAGCGCAGCCCCAACUUCCUCCAGGGCCUCCAGCUGCACCAGGACUACUGUAGCAACAAGGACUUCUCCACCUGGGCAGACUGCCAGCUUGACUCCAUGCCCAGCCAGCUGACCCCCCAGGAGCCCCGGCUCUGCCUGGUGGACGCUGGCUACUUCAUCAACACCAGCUGUCCCUCCAUGUUCCGGCCGGGCCGCAGGCUGGACCUCAUCCUCUCCUUCGACUACUCCCUAUCUGCGCCCUUCGAGGUACCCUGGUCACCCCAGGGGAACCCCUCUGCCCAGCCAGGCCAAGCUCCAGAGGCGAGCAGCAGGGUCACUGAGCCCCUGCCCCACAUCGCCCGGGUCCCGAAGGGAAGGAGAGGUGUCAGGCCUUGAUCUGCUGGCUCCUGCCAGGGUACUUAGGUGGGAAGGCUGUCGUGGUGCGGGGGCCUUGGGCUCCCAGGACAGGUGAACAGGGAGGGACCUCCCCACACCUACUCCAGAGAACAGCUGGACAGAGCUGAGAGGAGACCCUAGCAUCUCCAUGUCCAUCCCCCAGACCUCCCCUGAGUCGCUGUGCCAAUGUGAGUCCCCUCUUGGCUCUGGGAGUUGAACAAUCCAGCAAUAGCAAUCCAGAGUUGGGGUUUGGGGGGCUGGGGGGUGGGUCUGUACCCCACCUAGAGAUUUUAACCAAACAACGUUGCAGACCACCAGAGUCCUUGGACUCCCCGUGGGUCUCCCUCCGAGUCACUCUGCAGCUUGGCCCGACCACAGAGAGGACAGAGCCAGGCUGUUGUCUUGACACUGAAGCAGCUGGUGUGGGUUGGAACUGGCCCAGCAUUGACUUGGGCCGGGCUAGUUCUCGUGUCCAGCGCAGCCCCGCAGAGCUCCAGGCUGGCCAAGUGGAUCUCACCGGGGCCACCUGCCCCUACACCCUGUCCAACAUGACCUACAAGGAGGAAGACUUCGAGCGCCUGCUGUGGCUCAGCAACUACAACGUGCAGACCAGCCAGGGUGCCAUCCUGCAGGCCCUGAGGACCGCGCUGAAGCACCGGACCCUAGAGGCGAGGCCUCCAAGGGCACAGACCUGAGGCUGCUCAGAGGCCCCAGGACCCUGAAGGCCACAAUCUGACCCUCCAGGGCCUGCGGGAGUAACCUGAUCUGCAGCUGGGCUCAGCCACAGGCCUUCCUGGCUGGAGUUCUGGGCUCUCCCAGGCCUGGGUGGCCUCUGUAGCUGGUCUCGCUGCCCAGAGGGAACUGCACACGCAGAGUUCUCUCUUACUCAUGGAUGGCUUGAGAUGAGUUGAAAAUAACUUUUCCAGGCCAGUGUGUAGAACAGCUGAUCCAACCAGACAGACUUUCACACCACAAUUACUUCCAUGCCUGAGCAGAAUAGAUUUGAAGUGCAAGCCGAAGGCAGCAGAUCAGGAGUAGGGACAGGAAGGACAGGGGAUGCCUGACCUGACAGGUAGCUUCAGGCCUCGGGAAUCACAAGACAUCCUGAACACAUUGCCUCCUCUUCUUCCUGCUCCUCCACCUCCUUCUCUCCUUGUCCUUCUCCUCUUUCUCCUCCUGCUUUCCGUAUCCAAGUCUUGUACUUGUUUAAAUUUAUUCCUAAAUAUUUUAUUCUUUUUGAUAAGUGGAGUUACUUUCUUAAUUUCAUUUAGAUUAUUCAUUGCUAUUUUGUAGAAAUACAAUGGAUUUUUAAAUGUUGAUCUUGUAUUCCACAAUCUUGCUGAAGUUGUUUACCAGCUCUAAUACUUUUGUGGAUUUCUUAGAAUUUUCUGUAGACAGAUCAUGCCAUCUCCAAAUAGAGAUGGUUUUACUUCUUCCUGUCUGAUCCGAAUGCCUUUUAUUUAUUUUUCCCAAUUGCCCUGACCAGUACAAUGAUGAACACACGUUUCAAGAGCAGACAUCUUGUCUUGUUCCUGACACUAAGAGGAAAGCAUAAGUCUCUCACCAUUUAGUGUGAUUUUAACUGUGGGUUUUUCUUAGACAUCCUUAUCAGGUUGAGAAAGUUCUCUUUUAUUUCUAGUUUAUUGAGUGUUUUAUGAUGAAAAGGUGUUAGGUUUUGUCAAGUGAUUUUUCUGUGUCUAUGGGCAUGAUCAUGUGGUUUUGUUAUGUAUUUUAUUAAUGUACUCUAUUGCAUUAAUUGGUUUUUGGAUAUUAAACCAACUUUGCAUUCCUGGGGCAGUUUCCAUUUGAUUAUGGUAUAUAAACCUUUUUGUUUAUUGCUGGCACAUUUCUUUUUCUUUCUCUUUCUUUUUUUUUUUUUUUUUUAGAGACAGAAUCUCAUCACACUCUGUUACCCAGGCCGAGUUCAAUGGUGCAGUCAUGGCUCACUGCAUCCUCAACUUCCUGGGCUCAAGUGAUCCUUCCACUUCAGCCUCCCAAGUAGCUGGGACUACAGGCAUGUAACACCAUACUUGGCUAAAUUUAAAAAGUUGUUUUUUGUAGAGAUGAGGUCUCACCAUGUUGCCCAGGCUGGUCUUGAACUCCUGAACUCAAGCAAUCCUCCUGCCUCAGCCUCCCAAAGUGCUGGGAUUACUGGUGUGAGCCACCACAGCCAGCUGCUGGCACAUUUCUUACCUCCCUCAUGCAAGGGUGUGUGCACGCAUACACAUGCACACACACCUCGCCCCAGGUGGGGGUUGCAGUGAGAGCUUCUGGACAGACCUUGGCUCAGGAACUGCCCUCAUCUGAUGUCCUCUCUCAGCUUCCUUCCCUGUGCCUCUUCUGCAUUUGGCUUUAUUUUGAUUCUUCACUUUUUCCAUUUAUCAUGGACUCUUAUUUUUUUAACAGUGAUACGGGAAUUGA
Molecule: small RNA, 3125 nt
Filed under: Pongo abelii (Sumatran orangutan)
Lineage: Eukaryota; Metazoa; Chordata; Mammalia; Primates; Hominidae
Description: retained intron
Source: RNAcentral